This 859-nucleotide small RNA is filed under the name uncultured Acidimicrobiales bacterium. Its description in RNAcentral is "bacterial SSU rRNA". The stretch from base 1 to 491 matches the Rfam family "Bacterial small subunit ribosomal RNA", at positions 1045 to 1533 of the family's 1533-position model. The record is from RNAcentral. Lineage: Bacteria; Bacillati; Actinomycetota; Acidimicrobiia; Acidimicrobiales.
AUGGCUGUCGUCAGCUCGUGUCGUGAGAUGUUGGGUUAAGUCCCGCAACGAGCGCAACCCUUGUCCUAUGCUGCCAGCGGGUAAUGCCGGGGACUCGUAGGAGACUGCCGGGGUCAACUCGGAGGAAGGUGGGGACGACGUCAAGUCAUCAUGCCCCUUACGUCCAGGGCUGCACACAUGCUACAAUGGCCGGUACAAAGGGCUGCUAUCCCGCGAGGGUGAGCGAAUCCCAUAAAGCCGGUCUCAGUUCGGAUUGCAGUCUGCAACUCGACUGCAUGAAGUCGGAGUCGCUAGUAAUCCCGGAUCAGCAACGCCGGGGUGAAUACGUUCCCGGGCCUUGUACACACCGCCCGUCAAACCACGAAAGUCGGCAACACCCGAAGCCGGUCACCCAACCUUUUAGGAGGGAGCCGUCGAAGGUGGGGUUGGUGAUUGGGGUUAAGUCGUAACAAGGUAGCCGUACCGGAAGGUGCGGCUGGAUCACCUCCUUUCUAAGGAGUGUUCUGUAGGAAUCGUGUCGAUACUCGAUACGUGAACUACGAAUCUCCCAGUCGAUCACUGGUUAUUCGGCGUUCUCUUUAACUACUUGUGAUGGUUAUGUCUGAAGGCUUGUCUUUCGGGCCCACCUUUUAGUGGAGAGAUCAACGGACUGUUCCUGUUCCGUUUUCAGGGAGCGACCACUUGGCGCGCCCUUUGAGAACUCCAUAGCGAGCACGAGCAUCUAAUUCUCCAAGCUACAAAGAGCCAACGGUGGAUGCCUUGGCGCCUGAUGCCGAUGAAGGACGUGGGAGGCUGCGAAAAGCCACGGGGAGCUGCCUACCAAGCUUCGAUCCGUGGACGUCCGAAUGGGGAAACCCGG